AAAGCGGGUCGGAUGAUCGCUGAAAGGUUUUCUUUUCAGAGGAAAGUCCGGGCACCAAAGGGCGGGAUGCUGGUUAACGGCCAGUUUCGGUGACGGAAGGAAAGUGCCGCAGAAAAUAUACCGCCAUCUGGCGCAGGUCUAUGACUGGCAAAAGAUGGUAAGGGUGAAAUGGUGAGGUAAGAGCUCACCGCGCUCCUGGUGACAGGGACGGCAGGGUAAACCCCAUCCGGUGCAAUACCAAAUAGGGAAGGAUUCUUUUUUUUCGCUUUGCGGAAAGGAGGAACCGGAGUGGUCCGCUCCGGCAUACUUUCGGGUAGGUAGCUAGAGGCUGUUGGUAACAGCAGUCCCAGAUAGAUGAUCAUCCCGGCUUUGCCGUUGGCAGAGCUGUGACAAAACCCGGCUUAUAGACCCGCUUUCUUU
Molecule: RNase P RNA, 420 nt
Filed under: Fibrobacteria bacterium
Lineage: Bacteria; Pseudomonadati; Fibrobacterota; Fibrobacteria
Description: RNase P RNA component class A
Rfam family: Bacterial RNase P class A
About the family: Ribonuclease P (RNase P) is a ubiquitous endoribonuclease, found in archaea, bacteria and eukarya as well as chloroplasts and mitochondria. Its best characterised activity is the generation of mature 5'-ends of tRNAs by cleaving the 5'-leader elements of precursor-tRNAs.
Source: RNAcentral